GGAGAGAUGGCUCAGUGUUUAAGAGAACUGGAUGCUCUUCCAGAGGUCCUGAGUUCAAUUCUCAGCAACUUCA
Mus musculus (house mouse) is the source of this 73-nucleotide non-coding RNA. The record is from Rfam. NCBI's taxonomy places the organism in Eukaryota, Metazoa, Chordata, Mammalia, Rodentia, Muridae.